Molecule: long non-coding RNA, 1579 nt
Organism: Phodopus roborovskii (desert hamster)
Lineage: Eukaryota; Metazoa; Chordata; Mammalia; Rodentia; Cricetidae
Exons: 3
Source: RefSeq, a predicted model, not a curated record
GAAGAGGACUUUGAAUCAAGUUUCCUUAGAGCCUCCCACCUUGUCCAGGUUUCUGUGCCUUGGAGUUGGCUUCUACACAAUUCUCUUUUAUCUUUUCUGUCUGUUUUUUAAAUUUUUCAGUUCUACUCCUUGUUGGCUCUGAACUCUGGGCAAGCAAGAGUCUCACUUCUCUAAGCCACCAUACAACCAAUACUUAUCAAGCUUGUAUCUGUCAAGCACUUUGCAUAGACAUAGUGGAUGGCACCAAGUCAUAAAUGGAAGGCAGGGCCAAGGGAAGAGAGUGGAGGAGGGAGCAGUUUGGUGGUAGGAAAGGCAGAGCUCUCGGAGAGGAGGUUCAGUCAGAGAACGAACGAAGAAAGAGGGCUGUGUCUGAGGAAGGAAUGGCAGCUGCAGUCUUCAGGGUGACAGCAAGCCUGGCUUGUCCCAGGAAAUGAAGAGACAGCGUGGGCAGAGCAGAUACGGGACCAUGUUCUAUUGGUCCGUGUGGGUCUUCAGAGUACACUGAAGGACUGGGAAGAACGGAAGAGUUUUAAAUCGAUUCAUUUAUAUUCAGUGUGUGCGGCCUAUGAGCCAGUGUCUGAGGAGGGCAAAAGAAGGUACAGGAUCCCAGGGAGCUGGAGUUACAGGUGGUUGUGAACCACCCAACAUGGGUGCAGGGAAAUUAACUCAGCUCUUCUGGAAGAGCCACAAGUGCUAGUAAACACUGAGCCACUCCAGCUCCACACAACAGGAGCGUUUUAGCAGAGGAAUUGCACAGAGCUUUUGUGAAGCUGGGUACAGUGACAGAGCGGCAUUUUCCCCCUCCAGGUCGUUCUUUGGAGGUGACCCUUCUGCCCUGCUGUAAAUGGUUCCUCAUCUUUGCCAUUCCUAUUGCUCAGGGUGAUGCAGCCGAAGGAAAGCCUCGUUAAGGGGAAACUGGUCAAGAAGAUGAAAUCUCUGACCUUGACCUUGGUGGAGAUCUAAACAUAUAAACCCAUUGCAGUCCCUACAUGCCGCCAUGUGGUUCUGCUGGCUCUGCCCACCUUUCUGAGUCUUGGCUCAGAAAGAUGUAACUUUUUCUUUCUCGGGGCCAGAAGCUAAGUGUGCUUUUCCUUGUACUUUGGGCUUCUUCGUCUUUCUCCAAAGGCUUCUUCUACUUCAUGAGGGAACUGGUCUGCCACGUGGCUGGCUGUUUGUUUGUUUGUUGAUUUUGUCCUUCUCCAUUCCCUCCUGUAGCUGGGAACCCUGACUGUGUAAAGGGGAAUAUCUGGGACAAACGGUGCAGGAUGGGGCCGUGCUGGUGGCAGGAAGUCCUGCAUGAAGUCCAACUCUAAGGAACCUGUGAAGCCCCAGAGGAAAUAGUACGGAGUCCAGACUGACCCCUAACAGUGGCAAAACUGGGGAUCGGAGCUUUCUAGAUAAGAACACAAGCACUAUGGAAAGUCAAUGGGAAGAAUAUGAUGUUGGAUUUUAGUAGCCGAAGGACAGUGAUCAUGCAAGGACUGGAAGUCAUUCAGUGCAACGGCCAUGAGGCACAGAUCCGAACCACAGCGAGAUCCCUCUCCCAAUAUUCUGCUCAGCAAGAGCAGACAAGUCAGAG